This 249-nucleotide ribosomal RNA is filed under the name uncultured bacterium. RNAcentral's name for it is "partial 16S ribosomal RNA". It matches the Rfam family "Bacterial small subunit ribosomal RNA", at positions 524 to 771 of the family's 1533-position model. The record is from RNAcentral.
UACGUAGGGUGCGAGCGUUGUCCGGAAUUAUUGGGCGUAAAGAGCUCGUAGGUGGUUUGUCGCGUUGUUCGUGAAAACUCACAGCUCAACUGUGGGCGUGCGGGCGAUACGGGCAGACUGGAGUACUGCAGGGGAGACUGGAAGUUCCUGGUGUAGCGGUGGAAUGCGCAGAUAUCAGGAGGAACACCGGUGGCGAAGGCGGGUCUCUGGGCAGUAACUGACGCUGAGGAGCGAAAGCGUGGGGAGCGA